RNAcentral lists this ribosomal RNA (924 nucleotides) under uncultured bacterium. RNAcentral's name for it is "bacterial SSU rRNA". It matches the Rfam family "Bacterial small subunit ribosomal RNA", at positions 11 to 930 of the family's 1533-position model. The record is from RNAcentral.
GUUUGAUCCUGGCUCAGAUUGAACGCUGGCGGCAUGCCUUACACAUGCAAGUCGAACGGCAGCACGGGUGCUUGCACCUGGUGGCGAGUGGCGAACGGGUGAGUAAUACAUCGGAACGUACCUUAUCGUGGGGGAUAACGCAGCGAAAGCUGUGCUAAUACCGCAUACGCCCUGAGGGGGAAAGCGGGGGAUCGAAAGACCUCGCGCGAUUAGGGCGGCCGAUGCCUGAUUAGCUUGUUGGUGGGGUAAAAGCCCACCAAGGCGACGAUCAGUAGCUGGUCUGAGAGGACGAUCAGCCACACUGGGACUGAGACACGGCCCAGACUCCUACGGGAGGCAGCAGUGGGGAAUUUUGGACAAUGGGGGCAACCCUGAUCCAGCAAUGCCGCGUGAGUGAAGAAGGCCUUCGGGUUGUAAAGCUCUUUUGUCAGGGAAGAAACACCGGCUCUAACACAGUCCGGGAAUGACGGUACCUGAAGAAUAAGCACCGGCUAACUACGUGCCAGCAGCCGCGGUAAUACGUAGGGUGCAAGCGUUAAUCGGAAUUACUGGGCGUAAAGCGUGCGCAGGCGGUUAUACAGGACAGGCGUGAAAUCCCCGGGCUUAACCUGGGAAUGGCGCCUGUGACUGUAUAGCUAGAGUGUGUCAGAGGGGGGUAGAAUUCCGCGUGUAGCAGUGAAAUGCGUAGAUAUGUGGAGGAAUACCAAUGGCGAAGGCAGCCCCCUGGGAUAACACUGACGCUCAUGCACGAAAGCGUGGGGAGCAAACAGGAUUAGAUACCCUGGUAGUCCACGCCCUAAACGAUGCUGACUAGUUGUUCGGGAUUUUCAUCCUGAGUAACGUAGCUAACGCGUGAAGUCAGCCGCCUGGGGAGUACGGUCGCAAGAUUAAAACUCAAAGGAAUUGACGGGGACCCGCACAAGC